Molecule: long non-coding RNA, 427 nt
Organism: Sciurus carolinensis (gray squirrel)
Lineage: Eukaryota; Metazoa; Chordata; Mammalia; Rodentia; Sciuridae
Exons: 3
Source: RefSeq, a predicted model, not a curated record
CCGAGGGAGUGUGUCAUGUCCAUUGUAGCAGCCUGUAGUAGGGUGUCCCGAUAAUAUAUUACGCCGCCGGGUUUUUUUUUUUUUUUUUUUAAUUAAAAAUAAAAGGUUUUAUUUUAAGAAUUCGUAGGUUUUAGGAGAAAGAGCAAAAUUUCUGGAUCCUUGUUUUAACACAAAUCAUGUUCGGCGGUUUUUGUACGCUUCUUCAGCCACGGUUGUUUUUUAUGAUCCACACUCCAGGGAUGAGGAAACAAACUCAGACAUCUGCAGCACAACACAACUGAGUUCACGACCCAGUCCUGGGACUCAUCCAUACACCGUCUCCCUUUGCUGGAGUAUAAGCUCCAAUAAAUCCUCGUUUGGAUGGAAUUGCUUGUCGCUUCAUGAUUUCUAUCUCAAAUUGAGCAAAACAACCCAAUACUGAGCUGGU